RNAcentral lists this transfer RNA (75 nucleotides) under Gemmata obscuriglobus. RNAcentral's name for it is "tRNA-Gln". It matches the Rfam family "tRNA". From Rfam's summary of the family: Transfer RNA (tRNA) molecules are approximately 80 nucleotides in length. Their secondary structure includes four short double-helical elements and three loops (D, anti-codon, and T loops). The record is from RNAcentral. RNAcentral also lists the same sequence under 1 other name. Lineage: Bacteria; Pseudomonadati; Planctomycetota; Planctomycetia; Gemmatales; Gemmataceae.
UCCGGGGUAGUUCAACGGUAGCAACGCCGCGCUCUGAACGCGGAGAUGUUGGUUCGAUUCCAGCCCCCGGAACCU